AUUAUGAUGACAUCAAAAACAUGUCUAAAUGACAGGAUCCCACUCCAACUGUUUCUACCACACAGCCAGUAGCUUCAAAUGAAGGUGAUUCUAAUAUUCUCUAGAGAGAACCUUUUUGUUGUGUUUUGAUAUUCGUUUUUCUCAAUUGAGACCAUGAUAAUGUCUCUGGUCAUUAGACUUAUGACAUUGCUGCUUUGAUUUCUUGAUGAUAUAUGAGAAAGUGAAAUCUUCAUCAACUACUCAAGCACUGUCUGCAUCGCAAAAUCUGCAGUCUGCAUCAGCUCAACAGAGUAAUACCAUGAGAAAAAUGGGAUAUUUUUCUCAUUUCCAU
This 331-nucleotide long non-coding RNA is filed under the name Solanum tuberosum (potato). RNAcentral's name for it is "long non-coding RNA (STUB_LNC004130)". Lineage: Eukaryota; Viridiplantae; Streptophyta; Magnoliopsida; Solanales; Solanaceae. The record is from RNAcentral.